GACGAACGCUGGCGGCGUGCUUAACACAUGCAAGUCGAACGGAAAGGCCCUGCUUUUGUGGGGUGCUCGAGUGGCGAACGGGUGAGUAACACGUGAGUAACCUGCCCUUGACUUUGGGAUAACUUCAGGAAACUGGGGCUAAUACCGGAUAGGAGCUCCUGCUGCAUGGUGGGGGUUGGAAAGUUUCGGCGGUUGGGGAUGGACUCGCGGCUUAUCAGCUUGUUGGUGGGGUAGUGGCUUACCAAGGCUUUGACGGGUAGCCGGCCUGAGAGGGUGACCGGCCACAUUGGGACUGAGAUACGGCCCAGACUCCUACGGGAGGCAGCAGUGGGGAAUAUUGCACAAUGGGCGGAAGCCUGAUGCAGCAACGCCGCGUGCGGGAUGACGGCCUUCGGGUUGUAAACCGCUUUCGCCUGUGACGAAGCGUGAGUGACGGUAAUGGGUAAAGAAGCACCGGCUAACUACGUGCCAGCAGCCGCGGUGAUACGUAGGGUGCGAGCGUUGUCCGGAUUUAUUGGGCGUAAAGGGCUCGUAGGUGGUUGAUCGCGUCGGAAGUGUAAUCUUGGGGCUUAACCCUGAGCGUGCUUUCGAUACGGGUUGACUUGAGGAAGGUAGGGGAGAAUGGAAUUCCUGGUGGAGCGGUGGAAUGCGCAGAUAUCAGGAGGAACACCAGUGGCGAAGGCGGUUCUCUGGGCCUUUCCUGACGCUGAGGAGCGAAAGCGUGGGGAGCGAACAGGCUUAGAUACCCUGGUAGUCCACGCUGUAAACGGUGGGUACUAGGUGUGGGGUCCAUUCCACGGGUUCCGUGCCGUAGCUAACGCUUUAAGUACCCCGCCUGGGGAGUACGGCCGCAAGGCUAAAACUCAAAGGAAUUGACGGGGCCCCGCACAAGCGGCGGAGCAUGCGGAUUAAUUCGAUGCAACGCGUAGAACCUUACCUGGGUUUGACAUGGAUCGGGAGUGCUCAGAGAUGGGUGUGCCUCUUUUGGGGUCGGUUCACAGGUGGUGCAUGCCUGUCGUCAGCUCGUGUCGUGAGAUGUUGGGUUAAGUCCCGCAACGAGCGCAACCCUUGUUCACUGUUGCCAGCACGUUAUGGUGGGGACUCAGUGGAGACCGCCGGGGUCAACUCGGAGGAAGGUGGGGAUGACGUCAAGUCAUCAUGCCCCUUAUGUCCAGGGCUUCACGCAUGCUACAAUGGCUGGUACAGAGAGUGGCGAGCCUGUGAGGGUGAGCGAAUCUCGGGAAGCCGGUCUCAGUUCGGAUUGGGGUCUGCAACUCGACCUCAUGAAGUCGGAGUCGCUAGUAAUCGCAGAUCAGCAACGCUGCGGUGAAUAAGUUCCCGGGGCU
This 1346-nucleotide ribosomal RNA is filed under the name uncultured bacterium. Its description in RNAcentral is "partial 16S ribosomal RNA". It matches the Rfam family "Bacterial small subunit ribosomal RNA", at positions 28 to 1381 of the family's 1533-position model. The record is from RNAcentral.